Dromaius novaehollandiae (emu) is the source of this 2232-nucleotide long non-coding RNA. RefSeq lists it as uncharacterized. The record is from RefSeq and is a predicted model, not a curated record. NCBI's taxonomy places the organism in Eukaryota, Metazoa, Chordata, Aves, Casuariiformes, Dromaiidae. The transcript has 4 exons.
CGCGGCGGGCCGCGGGCACGCUGGGAAGUGUAGUCCGGCGGGCGGCUGCCGGCGGCGGCUCCCCGCGGCGCCCCCACGUGGCGGCGGCGGCCGGAGCUGCGUCACGCGGGACGCGCGGCCCAACGGCAACUUCGCCCGGAAUCGGGCGGUUUUUAGGUGCGUCACCGAGGUUCCCCUUAAGGAGCCCCUGAACGAGUCGAAACCUUCACAGGUGGCUCAAGAAUCGGAGGUUUGGGAGGUUUAAGCGCCCCCUUUUCCAGACACAAGUGUGGAGACAAGGCGGCGGACCAAGCCCAGAAAGCAACGGAAAACGAACGGCCCCUCAAGCUUUUCGACGCUAGCAUUAGGCGGAAAGGUGGACGGGCGCGGCCUAGGGAAGGAGGACGUAGCCUCAGGCUCCAGCCCAGCCUGCACCGCGCUCGGGAGCACCGGGGGCCAGUCGCCUGCAGUCCUCCCCGGACCAGGUCUCCCGUCCUCGCAGCGUUGGAGCAUCUCGACGUCCUUUGCCCGGUGAGGAAGGCCUGGCUCGUCUUCUCCUCUGAGCAAAGCGCCUCACUGCGGUGUAAGAAUGUGAAGAACCUUCCUAGUUCCUAACACAAGAGAGGGAGCAGAGAUGCCUGCCUAGCAUACAUACCGCUGCUGAGCAAGAAGGAUUCCAUAAUGUAAUCUGGGCUGAUCCCAAGGACUGACCUGGGCUCUCUACAGGAUCCAUGCGCUACCACAGUUACUUUUGGCCAGUCUGAAGCUCCAUCAUCUGCACUGUUCUUGCAGCACCUCCCAGUUUCCGAACUCCCUGGUGGUGGGGUGCCCAGCACAGCAUCGCUGCGAACGGCAGCCAUCCAGCCAGUGCUCAGAGAACCACAGCAUUUACUGCAGGAGUGACUGGCAGCGAUAGCCCAGGUAAACGUGAAAGGAACGGCUUAGGAUCAAGGGAGGGGAGUCAGUCAGCACAACAGCUCAGACUAAGGAGGAAAAGCUGCGUUUGCAUUUAUACUCUAACCUGUUCUCGCAAAGGAAAACAUUUGCCUAAGGAUGUCAGCCUAGAUGUUAAAAGUUACUUGGAGAAAAGAUGCCUUGUUUGAUUAGUGGGACUGCAGGUAUCAGUUAUAGCCUGUUGAUAGUUUUGGCUCUUUACGUAGUGAACAGGUUGAUUACUAAUACCAGGAGGAAUGCGAGCCCGCACUGAGGGACUUAGGGGUUGCCAGAAACUCCCUCACAAUUUGCUAGAACUGGAGGUGUUCAGCCUGUUGUGUGUGCUGCUCAUCACGUCAACAACUAGAAGAAUCUGUUCUGGGAAAAUCCACUCAGCUUAAUCACUAAACUCAUAGAAAAUGAGAGGAGAAGCGCAUAAAGUGGGAUGAGGUGAGGACCGAGGAUACUUAGUAUCCUAGGAUGAUUUUUGCAUUUCUUCUGGCCAGACGUUACAGGAAGACAGCCUGCUGCACGUCUGCUUGCGUGGCAGCAGCCCCCGUGUGUUAGGCUGUGUGACAGUCGAGUAUGGAUGGCCCCGUGGGAGAGCUGGUAAAAGGCAGAGCUUUGUUAGUAAUCACAGAGAGUUUGCAAAAGGCUAUAGCUGUUUGCUUCCAGCCUUAUCCUGACCCUAUGAUUAGUGAUGCACUGAUCAUUAUUUGCUUAAUAAGAUUGGAAAACAGAGGGCAGAGAUUUACUCUACUCCUCUUCACAACCAGCAAGUGUUCAUAUGUGCUUUCAGAUUGCAGGGCAGAUCCACUAGCUACUUAAGUAAGAUUUCCAGGGACUUAACAGGCUUUAUCACAAGUCCUGCAAAAUUGGAAUCAACUCUAACAUUUCUUCUUUGUUAGAUAUUACACUGAAGUUUAUUGAACCAUUUCUUCCUUUCCGGAAGGGAGGCCUUUAAAGCCACAUACUCAAGGACAAAUGUGAGAUGACCUGUGAGGUUUGGCUCAGCUCUUUGACAGAAAAGGGGUGAGAAUUCCCUUCAGGAGAGGUAAUCCUGGACCCCAUGUGAAUGGAACCACUUCCUUGCAGCCCUAAGUAGAAAGUCUAAGACCCAGGGAUAGCUGGAUUUCAGAGUCAGCCAUGUCUUCCUGCUACCUAAUUUGGUGGUGGUUGUUUUGGAUUCCGUUUUGAGGUUAUUCCCUUAGGGUAUCUUCAUUUCUGGAAGGAACCUUCUCUGUGAGGAUAACUUAUGUGUCGGGCUCCCAGUGCUAAAAUUCUGGAAACCGGUGUUAAUGCAUAUGAAAAUAAACUUCC